GGUCCGUUGGUCAAGGGGUUAAGACACCGCCUUUUCACGGCGGUAACACGGGUUCGAAUCCCGGGUUCGAAUCCCGUACGGACUA
This 85-nucleotide transfer RNA is filed under the name Streptococcus agalactiae. RNAcentral describes it as "tRNA-Glu". It matches the Rfam family "tRNA". From Rfam's summary of the family: Transfer RNA (tRNA) molecules are approximately 80 nucleotides in length. Lineage: Bacteria; Bacillati; Bacillota; Bacilli; Lactobacillales; Streptococcaceae. The record is from RNAcentral.